Molecule: long non-coding RNA, 304 nt
Organism: Lontra canadensis (Northern American river otter)
Lineage: Eukaryota; Metazoa; Chordata; Mammalia; Carnivora; Mustelidae
Exons: 2
Source: RefSeq, a predicted model, not a curated record
CACAGCGGCAGGUGCUCCUCUGCUUGUUGCUGUGGGUCUCAGGUGCCCAUGGGGACGUCACGAUAACUCAGUCUCCAGGCUCCCUGGCUGGGUCUCCAGGUCAAGGGGUCACCAUGAACUGCAGAGCCAGUCAGAGUGUUAGCAAAUAUGUAGCCUGGUAACAGCAGAAACCUGGGCAGGCUCCCAGGCGCCUCAUCUAUCUUGCAGCAAACAGGGCCACGGGCAUCCCAGACCGGUUCAGCGGCAGUGGGUCUGGGACAGACUUCACCCUCAGCAUCAGCAACCUCCAGGCUGAAGAUGUGGG